UAACCUCUGCGGUGUUCGUGAAUAGGCGUACACUUUUGACGAACCGAUACGCAACCCGCACGGGGGCCUAACAAGAGUUUGUCUGGUGCUUGCAAGCCCACCCCUCCGCGGUAGUGGGAUCCGAAAUCCAGGCGACAGGCUCCCUCCUUGAACUGCGGGUUCUCAAAAGCGUCUACACGGCACAGGUGGAGGUUUU
This 196-nucleotide non-coding RNA is filed under the name Planctomycetia bacterium. RNAcentral's name for it is "6S RNA". It matches the Rfam family "6S / SsrS RNA". Rfam says of the family: E. coli 6S RNA was the first non coding RNA to be sequenced, but its function was unknown until recently. The record is from RNAcentral. Lineage: Bacteria; Pseudomonadati; Planctomycetota; Planctomycetia.